RNAcentral lists this ribosomal RNA (403 nucleotides) under uncultured bacterium. Its description in RNAcentral is "partial 16S ribosomal RNA". It matches the Rfam family "Bacterial small subunit ribosomal RNA", at positions 28 to 526 of the family's 1533-position model. The record is from RNAcentral.
GACGAACGCUGUCGGCGUGCCUAAUACAUGCAAGUCGAACGCAGUGGGGACGGGUGAGUAACACGUGGGUAACCUCCCAUCAGAGGGGAUAACACUUGGAAACCGGUGCUCAACCGCUAAUGAUGGUUGGACCCGCGGUGCAUUAGCUAGUUGGUGCGGUAACGGCUCACCAAGGCGACGAUGCAUAGCGGACCUGAGAGGGGGAUGGGCCACACUGGGACGGAGACACGGGCCAGACUCCGACGGGAGGCGGCAGUGGGGAAUCUUCGACAAUGGACGAAAGUCUGACCGAGCAACGAGGCGUGGUUGAAGAAGGUUUGCGGAGCGUAAAACUCUGUUGGUAGAGAAGCGGUAUCUAACCAUAAAGCCACGGCUAACUACGUGCCAGCAGCCGCGGUAAUAC